CUCAAGAGCGUCUACUGGGCCAUUUCGCCUGCACCUCAAGCAUUCUCAUCAUUAAAAUUCUUCUGUAGGUUCUGAAUCAUGUCUGUUUGGGUCACAAUGAUGUAUAACACUCCCAAUAUUCCCUCUUAGAUCAAAGGCAGUAACUAUGAGCAGAAAAGUUCACAGAGGAUCUAAGCAUCCAGAGGAAAUCUCAGGAGCUGAUACUUGCCCUAUCAGUGUACAACAAUGCUCAUCACAGGGAAGCGGAAAAUUCUAGAAGAUGAAAAGAUGGUCCCAAAGAAACACUUCAUCCAGGUUUGACCUCGCUGGGAAGCCUCUUUCUCUACCUCUGCUUGAAGUAAACAGUUUCUGAUGUGAAAGGAGCUUGUGCUGACCGAAUACUAGGUCAGAAGUCUCAGAGAAAGCAGACAGGGCUGUAGCUCUGCCCGGGAUGCCUUAAUAUUCCCCGGACAUUCAUUUAUCUGCCUUCUAAAGUGUACUUCAGGAUGCGCUUUCCAAUAAUAACAGGCACCGGGGCAUACCGAAACACAGUCAACUUCGACUUCUUCCUCACAGCUUCUAAACACCCAGAGUCAAGAAAAUGAUGCAUUAGAAGGAAUCCAAGUCUAGAAGAUACUAGCGAGUUUUAUUUAACAUUUGGGGGGGCGGGAAAUGAUGACACUAUAAGUCUAAGCAAAGGCACUUAACAAACUUUUCGCAAAACCUCUUGCAGCCAUUUGAAAUAAGAGAAACACCAUUAAAUAUUAGUGUAAAUUGU
Non-coding RNA from Rattus norvegicus (Norway rat), 757 nucleotides. The record is from RefSeq and is a predicted model, not a curated record. Lineage: Eukaryota; Metazoa; Chordata; Mammalia; Rodentia; Muridae.